This is a long non-coding RNA of Tachysurus vachellii, 483 nucleotides long. RefSeq lists it as uncharacterized. The transcript has 3 exons. Lineage: Eukaryota; Metazoa; Chordata; Actinopteri; Siluriformes; Bagridae. The record is from RefSeq and is a predicted model, not a curated record.
AAGUUGCAUUGUCGGAAUUUCCUGAAAAUAAUGGGAAGAAGAAUUUUUUCUGGCCAGACACCUAAUACGAUUUGGACUUUCUGCCUUCAAAUGAUGGAGCUGUCUGAUCAUACUGUCUAAAAGCCAAAAGCUAGCAACCUGGGGGAGAGACAAGCACCCCUGGGUUGGACCUGUUCAUCCUGAGUGCUGGAAACUGCCAAACAACCAUACCAAUAAGUUGGGGUUUGGGAGAGCCUCCCACUAUGAGCUUUGCCAGGGGGAGGCCCUUUAUUCUGGACACACAGACUUUUGCCCCUCCUCUUGUCCCAGAACAAUCAGAGCAUGCAAGGACAGAAACUAUGCUUUUUAUUUCUUCUUGCAAAUAUCUUUUGAGUGCCAAGCUAAUGAAGAGAGCACCCACUCACUGCUCUGCACCCCAUCCUGUAAAGCUUAGGCAAGAGUCUAUUACCUUAAGGGAAUCUCUGGGAAACAGGAUUUUAUUGU